RNAcentral lists this unclassified non-coding RNA (295 nucleotides) under Hevea brasiliensis (rubber tree). The record is from RNAcentral. Lineage: Eukaryota; Viridiplantae; Streptophyta; Magnoliopsida; Malpighiales; Euphorbiaceae.
AAGAUCAUCUCCUGUAGGACCUCUCUCAAUCUAAGUGAUAGAAUAUUGGCAGCAACCAUUAAGAUUUGUCACCAGAAAUGAAUUUCUGAAUCCUUUGUACCCACUGAACCAGCUUUUCUUAGAUCUAAAGAACUAAGUAAACAAUAUUCACUAUGUUCUCAUAUAUUUCAACAAAACAUAUAAUAAUAUCCUGGCAAGUCUUAAGAAUAAGUCACAACGAAGUCACUGAUACUAAAAGAUUCUCUAAAUCUUUCAUCUUUCCCUACAAGGUCACACAACUCUCCUACAAAACAAU